CUGCUGCUAUGGUGUGAGCAGCAUCUCCUCUACAAUGGCUCUCUGCCAUGCUGACCCACCUUGGAGCCAGCAGUCUAUGGAUUGAAACCUCUAUAAAGUGAGAGAAAUUGAAAUAGAAGAUGUAAUCUCAGUUGCAAACUCACUUGACACUAUAGAAUUUUCCUGUUGCAAUAAAUGUAGACCUAUUCAAAACUGGAAAGUGAUUUUUUUCUGAAGACAGGAAGAGAAGGGAGUGUUUCAUUUUAAAUACAUAUUAAUUAAGCAUAGUAGCAGGUGUGGUGAAUUAACUAAUGGACAAUUUAAAUGGAAAUGCCCAGCUGAACUGAGUCAGCAUGGUUCGGAGCUUGGAAGACUCACCUGAGGAUUGUUGCCAGUGGCAUGAAAGAAGUGGAGAGGAAGAUCAC
Long non-coding RNA from Heterocephalus glaber (naked mole-rat), 404 nucleotides. The record is from Ensembl. NCBI's taxonomy places the organism in Eukaryota, Metazoa, Chordata, Mammalia, Rodentia, Bathyergidae.